GUCCACUGAACCUUAUCAUUUAGAGGAAGGAGAAGUCGUAACAAGGUUUCCGUAGGUGAACCUGCGGAAGGAUCAUUGUCGAGACCCGCRAGGCAGACCCGCGAACACGUUCCCACACUUACGGGACGACGGCGCGGGCGCGGCCGACAGCGCCGCCCCGCUYCGGAGGACCGCUCCGCCGACGCGCGCGCCAGCGCCCGUCGCGCGGCUCAACGAACCCCGGCGCGAGAAGCGUCAAGGAAAACUGGAAACGCGGCCCCCCCGGUGCCCCGUCCGCGGAGCGCACCCGGGGAUCGGGCUCGUGUCGGAAUCGAAACGACUCUCGGCAACGGAUAUCUUGGCUCUCGCAUCGAUGAAGAACGCAGCAAAAUGCGAUACUUGGUGUGAAUUGCAGAAUCCCGUGAACCAUCGAGUUUUUGAACGCAAGUUGCGCCCGAAGCCACCGCGCCGAGGGCACGUCUGCCUGGGCGUCACGCACCKCGUCGCCCCCCNGCCCGAGCUCCGCACGGCGGAAGCUGGCCCCCCGUGCGCACCCGCGCGCGGCCGGCCCAAAAGCGAUUCCGCGUCGRCGCGCGUCACGACGAUUGGUGGUAGAAGACCUCGACCCGCGCRUCGUCGUGYCNGAACGCGCCGUUCGCCCGGAACGUGUCGACCCCGAACGUGCUCCGCACCUCGACGGCGACCCCAGGUCAGGCGGGAUCACCCGCUGAGUUUAAGCAUAUCAAUAAGCGGAGGA
Molecule: small RNA, 736 nt
Filed under: Chionanthus filiformis
Lineage: Eukaryota; Viridiplantae; Streptophyta; Magnoliopsida; Lamiales; Oleaceae
Description: eukaryotic LSU rRNA
Rfam family: 5.8S ribosomal RNA (bases 318-473)
Source: RNAcentral